CAGAUUAACGCACAAAUAUGCAGACUAACGCAGUCAUACAGGUUUCAUGUCCUAAAGUUUAUGGGUUUGGUUGAGAGGACAAAUGGCCUUACUUGUGUAGAAAGUCGGGUAGGCAAAAGAACUGUUUCGUGCACUAUCGAGGGAAGCAACAAACAAUGAGAAAGCGUGCAACGGAUCAACUGCGGGCCUAUAUACACAAACACGAUCCCCAUGGACGAAGCUUUAUAUUUUCUGUUACUUUGUAAUAUUCUCGUCCAAUGAUUACAU
This is a long non-coding RNA of Olea europaea var. sylvestris, 267 nucleotides long. RefSeq lists it as uncharacterized. NCBI's taxonomy places the organism in Eukaryota, Viridiplantae, Streptophyta, Magnoliopsida, Lamiales, Oleaceae. The record is from RefSeq and is a predicted model, not a curated record. The transcript has 3 exons.